GCCCGCUCAGAAACUUAAAUGAAUUGACGGGGCCCGGCACAAGCGGUGGAGCAUGUGGUUUAAUUCGAAGCAACGCGAAGAACCUUACCAGGCCUUGACAUGCAGAGAACUUUCCAGAGAUGGAUUGGUGCCUUCGGGAACUCUGACACAGGUGCUGCAUGGCUGUCGUCAGCUCGUGUCGUGGGAUGUUGGGUUAAGUCCCGUAACGAGCGCAACCCUUGUCCUUAGUUACCAGCACGUUAUGGUGGGCACUCUAAGGAGACUGCCGGUGACAAACCGGAGGAAGGUGGGGAUGACGUCAAGUCAUCAUGGUCCUUACGGCCUGGGCUACACACGUGCUACAAUGGUCGGUACAAAGGGUUGCCAAGCCGCGAGGUGGAGCUAAUCCCAUAAAACCGAUCGUAGUCCGGAUCGCAGUCUGCAACUCGACUGCGUGAAGUCGGAAUCGCUAGUAAUCGUGAAUCAGAAUGUCACGGUGAAUACGUUCCCGGGCCUU
This 496-nucleotide ribosomal RNA is filed under the name uncultured Pseudomonas sp. RNAcentral describes it as "bacterial SSU rRNA". It matches the Rfam family "Bacterial small subunit ribosomal RNA", at positions 887 to 1382 of the family's 1533-position model. Lineage: Bacteria; Pseudomonadati; Pseudomonadota; Gammaproteobacteria; Pseudomonadales; Pseudomonadaceae. The record is from RNAcentral.